Molecule: ribosomal RNA, 462 nt
Filed under: uncultured Anoxybacillus sp.
Lineage: Bacteria; Bacillati; Bacillota; Bacilli; Caryophanales; Anoxybacillaceae
Description: bacterial SSU rRNA
Rfam family: Bacterial small subunit ribosomal RNA
Source: RNAcentral
CCCGCACAAGCGGUGGAGCAUGUGGUUUAAUUCGACGCAACGCGAAGAACCUUACCAGGGCUUGACAUCCCCUGACCGCGUAUGAAAGUACGUUUUCACCUCGGGUGACAGGGAGACAGGUGGUGCAUGGUUGUCGUCAGCUCGUGUCGUGAGAUGUUGGGUUAAGUCCCGCAACGAGCGCAACCCUCGACCUUAGUUGCCAGCAUUCAGUUGGGCACUCUAAGGUGACUGCCGGCUAAAAGUCGGAGGAAGGUGGGGAUGACGUCAAAUCAUCAUGCCCCUUAUGACCUGGGCUACACACGUGCUACAAUGGGCGGUACAAAGGGUCGCGAACCCGCGAGGGGGAGCCAAUCCCAAAAAGCCGCUCUCAGUUCGGAUUGCAGGCUGCAACUCGCCUGCAUGAAGCCGGAAUCGCUAGUAAUCGCGGAUCAGCAUGCCGCGGUGAAUACGUUCCCGGGCCUU